UUUUAUUUAUUGUUUAUAAUGGGAAGAUGUGUCACACAGUGUGGGACAGGCUUGUUUCUGGGAUUUUGUUCAAACUGUGGUAUACAACGUAGGAUUCAGCUGCUGGAGUUUCCCCUCUGCACCAAAAUUUCAUUUGUUUAGAAGCCACUGUUUGCCUGUUUGUGUGUAAUGUAUGUUGUCUUUACAGUGAUCAGACCCUAUGGGUUAUUCUUGCAGAGCCCUUUCUCAGCUCCAGCUGUUGCAAAUGCUCGUCUUUGUUCCCAUAACAGCUCCCAGAGAAGUCUCUCAGUCCUAAGACAUACGCAAGGCCAAACAAGCACUGGAAAAUAUGUUAGAAAGACCUGCAUUUUGAUAGCUCCAGCAUGCUUUCCAUGA
This 375-nucleotide long non-coding RNA is filed under the name Anser brachyrhynchus (Pink-footed goose). RNAcentral describes it as "lncRNA (ENSABRG00000016522.1)". The record is from RNAcentral. Lineage: Eukaryota; Metazoa; Chordata; Aves; Anseriformes; Anatidae.